GCAGUCUAGUCUACAGCCUGAGAGCACCCAGUCUCCUCUGACCUUGGAAGCUAAGCAGGGUUGGGAGUGGGUAAUACUUGGAUGGGAGAAAUAUGAAGUCUCUUGCCACUUUGCA
RNAcentral lists this ribosomal RNA (115 nucleotides) under Jaculus jaculus (lesser Egyptian jerboa). The record is from RNAcentral. Lineage: Eukaryota; Metazoa; Chordata; Mammalia; Rodentia; Dipodidae.